Molecule: ribosomal RNA, 712 nt
Filed under: uncultured Carnobacteriaceae bacterium
Lineage: Bacteria; Bacillati; Bacillota; Bacilli; Lactobacillales; Carnobacteriaceae
Description: bacterial SSU rRNA
Rfam family: Bacterial small subunit ribosomal RNA
Source: RNAcentral
GCAUGCCUAAUACAUGCAAGUCGAACGAUGACGUCACUGCUUGCAGUGAUUGAUUAGUGGCGAACGGGUGAGUAACACGUGAGGAACUUGCCCAUGAGCGGGGGACAACAUUCGGAAACGGAUGCUAAUACCCCAUAGGUGGAUUGGUCGCAUGACUAAUUCAUUAAAGGUGGCUCUGCUACCACUCAUGGAUAGCCUCGCGGCGUAUUAGCUAGUUGGUAAGGUAAUGGCUUACCAAGGCAGUGAUACGUAGCCGACUUGAGAGGGUGAUCGGCCACACUGGGACUGAGACACGGCCCAGACUCCUACGGGAGGCAGCAGUAGGGAAUCUUCCACAAUGGGUGCAAACCUGAUGGAGCAAUGCCGCGUGAGUGAAGAAGGUCUUCGGAUCGUAAAGCUCUGUUGUUAGAGAAGAACACGUGCUAGGUAACUACUAGCGCCUUGACGGUAUCUAACCAGAAAGUCACGGCUAACUACGUGCCAGCAGCCGCGGUAAUACGUAGGUGACAAGCGUUGUCCGGAUUUAUUGGGCGUAAAGGGAGCGCAGGCGGUCUGUUUAGUCUAAUGUGAAAGCCCACGGCUUAACCGUGGAACGGCAUUGGAAACUGACAGACUUGAAUGUAGAAGAGGAAAAUGGAAUUCCAAGUGUAGCGGUGGAAUGCGUAGAUAUUUGGAGGAACACCAGUGGCGAAGGCGAUUUUCUGGUCUAACA